AGGUAAUCCAACAAGAACCAGCCACGCACCACGCGUACCGCGACCUUUACCACCAACGCCUCCUCACAACUGAAGAUGGCGAAAAUCCCCAGCUCCGCCGCUGGCGCGGCCACCGUUUCGUCUCUGUCGGAAGAAACAUCAUCUGUUUCGACAGAAACAAUAAUCUCCAAUGACUUGCCUCCAGGUUCUGCGGAGGAGAUCAUGGAGCUUUUCGACCACAGCGGGGUCUCUAGCUUUCUCCCUGAAAACUACAAUUGCAAAAACUUCUUUUCUGAUCUCAUUCGCCCUCUCCUCAAGGCUGACCUUGUCCAACGGGGCCGCGUUACCUGCAUCUUUUCUGUCCUACCUGCCGUUACUGUAAUCUACUUUUCCCCCAUAACUCUGUUUCUAUUGUUUCUUUCCUCUGUAUUCUUGCCAACCAAACGGGAAAUUUUGAUGCUUUGUUUCCCCUUCGUGGGUUUUUAGAAUUAUUUUAAAGGACUUCACGGUGGGGCUGUGGCAGCUAUAGCUGAGAGAGUGGCGAUUGCUUGUGCUAGAACUGUCUUGGCAGAAGAUAAACAUCUCUUCCUUGGUGAACUGAGCAUAUCUUAUCUCUCUGCCGCACUACAAAAUGAAGUUUUGUUAGUUGAUGGGUCUAUAGUGAGGAGCGGAAGAAAUUUAUCUGUAGUUGCCAUGGAGUUCAAAAUCAAGAAAACUAGGAAGCUGGUCUACACUGCCCGUGCUACUUUCUAUCACAUGCCUGUUGCCAAGCUAUGAAUUUACUGUGGCAUAUCAUCUGGUUCGUAAUUACAUCCUGUGGCUGUUUUGCCUAUAAUAAAUGCACGAUCUUUUUCAUUACUUCAGUAAAGAUAAAUUACUUAUUGCGAUAUCUUGCUGAUUCGUGCUCGUUUAACCCCAAGAAAUGACGCUAUAUUCUUUUCAAACUUUUAAUUCAGAAUGCUGAAGAGUAUUUCUCACUGGAAGGUUGACUGCUGGAAAAGGGUUAUAAACUUUUAAUUCUUGCCAAGCUAAGAAAAUUCAUGUUUCAUCUAUCACUUUAGAACUUUUUUUUUCAUAGAAAUAUCAAUGAUGGUCAUUUCAUUUAUUACUGGUAGAUCACUUUCUUGUACAGUGUAUGGGGAAAAAAAAAAACUGAUCCUAUAUACGAGGAGAUAAAUUAUCAAUUGCCUUAUGAUUGUGAUUUUAGAGGUUCUCCCAAAUGUUUGCUGUAGAUAAUUCCACCAUUCAUGCUCUCAUUCCUGAUGAACUGUUUAUUUUGUAAUCCUUGGGGAAGGAGGAAAGGAAAAAAUAAAACUUCUGCAACCAUGGGAUGGAGCCUCUUGUGAUGCAAACUUACUACAUUAUCAUGUGUCCACUUCAAAGCUCAACACCUAGUAUUGUUGCAUUCUAGUUUUCCGUAAUGUUGUUUAUGUAGGCUCUUGAUUUUGUCAACAGUCUGCUGGAUUGGUCACAAUAUUCCAUCUUUAUCUCAAUAUUUGAUAGAAAACUCAUGGAUCAUUACGUAGGUUCGAAUGAUAAGGCAAUUGUUUACUAGCAUUUUUAGGCAUGUUUCAUUUGUCCAAAUUAUUAAGCAUGGGCUAACUGGCUAAGCUGUAAAGACAUGCCCUUGCCCAUUGGGAUGGUACUUAGUGGUCAAGAAGUUAGAUUGGGUUAGGGAUGGAUAUUACAUAUUAGGUCUGAAUGUUGCUGUUGAAAAAAGAAAAACCAAAAACAGAAUAGAAGAGCUGCUAUAGACAAAACUGAAGUUAGAGUUCCUUCUAUUCAGUUUACAAGAAAUAGUCAUGCUUCAGAACUUACACUUGAUUGCAUCUUAUAUUUUCUUGAUUUCUGUGUCACCAUUAUCAGUUUGUUUGGAAUUGUUCUUUCUUACAUGGAGAGUUGGCCCUGAAGAGAAAAUUAACUGUCAUUUCUUUGCAUUGUUCAACUUCAGAUUCAAGAAGACUGAAAUAUUUCACUCAACCAGAUAUGGCUGCAAAUUUGUGAAGUAUUUUUGGGGAAUAAUUCAAUUAUGAAAAAUCAUUUUGUUAUUCAGAGAUGUCAUUUUUUCAGCAACUUUCACACAAAUAAAAACCAAUCUAUGUUAGCAUAUUCUUGUCACUCGAUACUUGUGUACUAAGUGUUAUCUCUUCGUUAUCUGUGUCAUGUGCUGGAUAUUGCAUACUCGAAAGAGCAAGUCCCUGGCCUAGCAAAAUUUUGCUUGUAAUUUGACCAAAUUGUCUUCCCAGAGUUAUAUUGGGUUCACAGAUUCAGAUUCUUGAGCAACCUGUCCUUGAAACUUUAAAUUAUAUUUUUGUAUGUUACCGAUCAAGGAAUUUGAUAAUUUACUCUCCUUGCAUUUGAGUAUUUUAAUUUUACAUAACACUAAAAUUUUAUAAUUAUUCAAUUAAAAUAUAAAUAUAAAUAUAAUAAAUAUGUUUUAUGAAUCAAAAAAACAAAAGGAAGUCUCUAGCCGUUAGUGAGAUGGUGGAAAGGAGUGGACGUUGGAGGUGAAGGAAAAGACAAGAGAAAAGAAGUGAAAAGUAUUGAUGAUAGAAAAAUUGAACACAGCGAGUCUCAAGCUGACCUCCUCAGCUUCAUUUGACCACCAGAGAAGCCUUCCGAAGCCUCAGUUUCAGCUGAAAAUGCUAGAAAGGCAGAUCAGAAAACAUGGCUGUGGUGAUGGCAAUGAUGACAGCCAAAGACGCUCCUGUCAUCAUAGACAGUUUCAGAUAGGAGGGUGACAUCCACUGGUGAUUGUGCUUCAUCUAUUUCCUCAUAUUUGCAUUUUUACCCUUUUUUAUUAAUUUCUUGCUUUUUUUAUGUUUUGAAAAAAUCGAUUUAAUUGAUUGAAAUUGGUGUUGGUUAUCAAAGAUGAGGAAGUAGUGAAAACAGAUUCUGAAGGCAACAAAUUGAUGAGGAAGGCAAAGGUGUGGAUUUUUCCACUUCGUUUUUCAGCAUCAAUGGUUUCACUUUGCAGAAUUACUAUAAUGGGAUGCAUGGAGGGGCCGUUGCAGCUAUAGCUCAGAGAGUAGCCAUUGCGUGUGCUAGAACUGUUUUAGCUGAGGAUAACGAAAUCUCUCUUGGUGAAUUGAGCAUCUGUUAUCUCUCAGCCGCACCCCAAAAUGAGGUAGUGGUAGUUGAUGGUUCUGUAGUGAAGAGUGGCAGGAACUUAACU
Molecule: unclassified non-coding RNA, 3154 nt
Filed under: Hevea brasiliensis (rubber tree)
Lineage: Eukaryota; Viridiplantae; Streptophyta; Magnoliopsida; Malpighiales; Euphorbiaceae
Source: RNAcentral